AGCUCAGUUGAUAGAGUGCUUGCCUUGCAUGCAAUAAGGCCCUGGGUUCAAUCCCCAG
RNAcentral lists this transfer RNA (58 nucleotides) under Ictidomys tridecemlineatus (thirteen-lined ground squirrel). Its description in RNAcentral is "Spermophilus tridecemlineatus (thirteen-lined ground squirrel) tRNA". It matches the Rfam family "tRNA", at positions 9 to 63 of the family's 71-position model. Rfam says of the family: Transfer RNA (tRNA) molecules are approximately 80 nucleotides in length. The record is from Rfam by way of RNAcentral. Lineage: Eukaryota; Metazoa; Chordata; Mammalia; Rodentia; Sciuridae.